UUUUGGGAAUUUUCUAAAGAGAACGUGUUUAUUAUUAAAGUAAUAUAAAGAAUUAAUAAAAUUAAUUGAACUGUGAAGGAGUUAUAUAAAAUUAAAAAUUACAAAGAUACCUUUUGUAUAAGGGUUUUAUAAAAUUUUAGGGAAACUUUAUUCCCGAAAAUAAGAGGGCUAAAAUAGUUUAACUCCUUAUGUGUAAGGAUAAGUAAUGAGACUAUUUUAGAAAUGAUAUUUUAAUCGGUCUUAAGGAUAUCUGGUUUAAAUAAUUAAAUACUUUAGUACUCUGCAGAGGUUUCAAGAAUACAUUUAAUUUUGUGCAGAGUAUAAAUCUUAAAGGGUAAUCUUUUAAGAUAAAUAAUUCCAUAAACAUAUCUUUUUAAUUAAUUUUUUUAGGCUUAAAAAAAGUUUAAACUAAAUAAAGUUAUUUUAUCAAUUUUAAAAAUUAGAUUUUUUAAUGUUUUGGUUACACUAAAUUAAUUUAUUUUAGAACUAUGAAAAAUUAUUAAUAAUGUAAAAAUGAGUAAAUAAAAAUUUUUAAAAUAAAAAUUAUUACUUUUAAAAAUAUGAAUUCGGCAACUAUACCUUAGGCUGUUUAACAAAAACAUUUCUUUUGGAAUAAUAUUUAAAGUAAAAUCUGCCCACUGUGUAAAUGAAGGGCCGCGGUAUUUUGACCGUGCUAAGGUAGCAUAAUCAUUAGUCUCUUAAUUAGAGAAUAGAAUGAAUGAUUAAACUAGGGUGUGCUUUAUUAUUGUUGAAGAAGUUGAAAUUUGAGUAUAAGUGAAAAUACUUAUAUAGUUCUAUUAGACGAUAAGACCCUAUAGAUCUUUAUUUUUAAUAAUUUAUAUAAUUUGGGGGAAUUAUAUAAGUAUCUUAAAAAUUUAAUUGGGGAAAUUAAAGAAUAGAAAAAAUUUCUUUUUAGGAAACAUUACAUAACAUAUAAUCUAAUUUUUUAAAAUUAAAAAGUUACCUUAGGGAUAACAGCAUAAUUGAGUUUGAGAGCUCUUAUUGAUGACUCAGUUUAUGACCUCGAUGUUGAAUUAAGAAGUCUUUAUGAGGCAGUACUUAUAAAAGAAGGUUUGUUCAACCAUUAAAUUCUUACAUGAUUUGAGUUCAAACCGGCGUGAGCCAGGUUGGUUUCUAUCUUUAGAUACACAAAAUUAGCUUAGUACGAAAGGACCAGUUUAAUUUUAAUAUUUGAAAUUAA
Molecule: ribosomal RNA, 1201 nt
Filed under: Friesea gretae
Lineage: Eukaryota; Metazoa; Arthropoda; Collembola; Poduromorpha; Neanuridae
Description: 16S ribosomal RNA
Rfam family: Archaeal large subunit ribosomal RNA (bases 795-1144)
Source: RNAcentral